GGCCCCCGAGGGACGGGCAGCUAGCAGCCCCACGCCUCCAGGCUCAAACCGGAACGAGGCGGCGGCUUGGCCGUCUGGGCUCCGAGUCCACGCUUGUAGCUGUUUCAGUCCUGGGGGGCGGGGUCCCUGUGCGUUUGCUUAAAUAGGAUUCGGCGGGGCCCCCAAAGCCUCGGAAGCGGCGGGAGGACUGACACGAGCAGAGGAUAGUUCAUUUGAGGUGUUUCCGGGCAACCGAUAAGCAGGACACAGAAGAUGACAGCUGCUUCCCACAACGUGUAUUCAGAGGAAUUCUUCCUGUGACGCCGGACCUUCAGCACAUACCCAUAGCAAGGAGGAGGGCAUAGCUCAGGGACAAAGUUGAUGCUCUACUUGUAGAAAAGUCCAGGUUCCACCUUCGCAUCUCGAGGUGGGCUAGGAAACACCCCUGAAUGAAGCCCCAGAGAGCCAGUGGCCUAUAGACAAUACUGAGCUGGAACUCUGGUGUGGUGGCCUUUUGGGCAAGCUGAGAAUUCCCUGAGAGAUACCUUUAUAGACCCUUUAUGCAGCCCGUACCAACCUGGUGGCCUCCAGAAGUUUUGGACUACAAUUCCCAUCGGCCCCAACCAGCAUGGGAUGGGGAGGAAGACAGGGCAAUUAAACCUCCAUAAGAUGCAGACUGUGAAGUGAUGGUAAGGAAAGCCAACUCAACACUGACCCCUGGCGGUUAUCUGGCCAAUUGACAAAAACACUACUAUGGUAAAACCCAAUGCCCCUUCUCGCACCUCCACGUACCCCAAUACAGUGGUACCCCGCAAGACGAAUGCCUCGGAAGACGAAAAACUCGCUAGACGAAGGAGUUUUUCGUUUUCUUAGCCGCUUCGC
Molecule: non-coding RNA, 861 nt
Organism: Podarcis muralis (Common wall lizard)
Lineage: Eukaryota; Metazoa; Chordata; Lepidosauria; Squamata; Lacertidae
Source: RefSeq, a predicted model, not a curated record